UACGAAGGGGGCUAGCGUUGCUAGGAAUUACUGGGCGUAAAGGGAGCGUAGGCGGGUUAUCAAGUUGGAGGUGAAAGCCCAGGGCUCAACCUUGGAAUUGCCUUCAAAACUGAUAGCCUAGAGUAUGAUAGAGGUAAGUGGAACUCCGAGUGUAGAGGUGAAAUUCGUAGAUAUUCGGAAGAACACCAGUGGCGAAGGCGACUUACUGGAUCAUGACUGACGCUGAGGCUCGAAAGCGUGGGGAGCAAACAGG
RNAcentral lists this ribosomal RNA (253 nucleotides) under uncultured bacterium. RNAcentral's name for it is "partial 16S ribosomal RNA". It matches the Rfam family "Bacterial small subunit ribosomal RNA", at positions 524 to 776 of the family's 1533-position model. The record is from RNAcentral.